CGCUGCAGCCCCCGCGCGCGCGCCAGGGUGGGGGGGGAGAAAGCUGCGUUCGAACCGCCCCCCCGCAACGGCCGUAACGGUCCCGCCCGCCUGCCCGCCCGCGGGGGCGGCGCCCCCGCACGGGAGCCCCGGGGGCAGAGGAGCGUCUUCAACCACCCAGGCUGGGAAAACGCGGCCUCCCUGCUUUUCUUCGCAAAAAAACAGAACAAAACAAAACAACAACGUGCAGGGAAAGGAAGGCAAUUGCAAGAACUUCAGCGAACGACAAACCAGCCAGGUGGGGUACUGCAGGUUGUACUGCAGAGCACACUGCAGAGAUUUCGAUUUUGGAGUCAUUUCUGACAUCUCUUCUGACAUCACGUGGCUGCCUCAGAACUGGCAAGAGAACAGUGUAUGGUACCCAGUUUUCAGAGCAAGACCUUCAGCUGCAAGUACACAGAACUGACCACAUGGCCCUGUGCUCUAUUACCAGAAAGAACCUGAUUUAGAGGCAAUAAAAUGCAAUCAGUACACAAACCAGAAGCAGGAAUCAUCUGCUAAUGGAACUUUUAAUUGAGGAGUGACCACUGACAUGAGGUUUACAGCACACAGUCAAAAUUCAGCAGAGAGAAACUCCUUUGGAAACAGCACUUGAGAAUCCUAACCUCCGCUCUCGAGCUACGGGUCUCAGAGUUUUGGCAGCCUGCCCAAAUAACAACUUUUGUGUUCUAGAGAGCCAAUUCCACUCUGCUGCCAAAGCCGCAGCAGGAAAUCCUGCACGUGGGAAGACUGGAGUGCAGACAGAACAACUACCACAUGGAGAGAGGAGGUAAACCAGAUCAGGUGCUCCCCUCACAGCCCUUUCCUACCUACCUAAGGGCAAGUGGAUUACAGCAUCCCAUCCAUACCUCUGGGCACCCACAGAGCAACAAGUCUUAACUUCCCAGGCGGGACGGAAAAGAGGAUUUGGGCCUAGAAUGCCUCUGUCUGAACAUCCCUGACAGCACAUGGCACCAUCAGCUCUCAAACAAGCCUAAAUCAGGAAGUCGCUCCUGUGCUUCCAGUGGGGGAAAUGCAAAGGUUGAUGCCUCAAACCCUUCUAGUGGCAGGAGAUUGCUACACACGGUGCACCUCCUAAGCUGAGCUUUUACUUCUAAGAAAGAGACAGGAAAUUGCUUAAAGGCACCAGUGUUAAAAUAAUAUUUACAUUACAGGGUAAAGUAAUUUCAAGUUGGGAAAUGUAAACUUUGGAAGUGUUUGAGUAGCUGUUGGUUCAAGCAAACUCAUUUCUGCUUUUUUUUUUUUUUAAGAAUGGUUUCAGACAAUAUAUGCAAUUACAUGAUCACGUGGUAUUAUUUCUACAAGACCUUUGCUCAUUCAGUGAUCACUAGAAGUUGAAUGGACAACCACACAACUUGUAUUUUAUAGAUUUCAAAUUCUUCACUGUAUAAAAAUACACCUAAAUAGUCAGUAAUUUAUCUAUGGUUAAAAUAAUUUUUAGAUAUGUGAUUUUUAAAGACAGGUUUUAAAUGGUCAGAUAAUUCUAUUUAUUAACCUAUCAACUAACAUAAAAGAAGUCAAGCUGUUAAAAACUUCCUGAUGAGAAAAAAAAAAUCAAUUAGAUAUAAAUCUAAGGUACUGUAAGUCAAAUGCAUUUAGAUAUUAGUAUGAAAUGGUUACCAGGAGACAUAGAAUUUAUGUAAAUUAUUAUAUUUUAAUGUAUUUGUUUUCUGAUAACACUGAAACUUCUUAAGUGAGAGUUUUUGGUGGCAGCACUCUUUACAUACUGGUUUCCACAAAUAAGGAAUUGCUGUGGAUGCCUGAUUGCUUCCUUUGCAUUAUAUCUAUUCUGUUUACAAAGGGGCUUUUAAUAAUGUACUAUUGCUCUCAAAUAAUCCUGUGCAAAGCACAGAAUGGACACAUUUUUGAAAAUGGGUGAGUGUGUAUUCGAUAACUUAACCAAGACCACAAUACCAGCAGGUUUUGAAUAGUAUGGUCGUGCCUUAUCUUUCUGUUUAAUUCAUCGGCUCUCUAAAUACACCAGUAAAAAGGUGUCUGUGCACCUGGGUAGAGGUAAUUAUUAAAUAACACUGCCAAUUCAUACCUUAUGUAAACAUACUGCAAAUACAAAAACAAUUUAUGCUUUUAAAAUGUUAAAUAAUAGAUCCUCUGAUUUUAAAAAGACAAAAACAAAAUUAGAGUGCUCUAGGGGAGAUAAAACAUGUUUUGUGACUUCUGUCUUUACACUGACAUUUGAAGUCCAAUUACAGAAGAUGAUGUGUUGUUUUGAUAGAGAAAAUUAAAGAUUCAGAACCACAACUGUUUCACUGAAAAUGUUUCAAACUUUCCUCAGACAACUUAGCCCUGCCUCAUUCUUAGAUAAACAACAGCCAUUUCUGGAAUGAAGCAACUUCCUUGUGAUACCACAGGAGUAUUCACUUUCCCACUCCAAAAAUCUAUAGAUGCAGAAAGGAAAUGAAGCCUUGUAUCUAUAAAGGUGGUCAGAGUUACAAACUUCCUUAUACGUUAUUAGCACAGAAUACACUUCCCAUUAAGAGCAGACACAUCCUUCAAAGAUGAUUUUAUUGAAAUGGCUGGUUUGAAAUUUUCAUUAUUUUACAAGUCUGAAUGUUGCAACAGCUAGAAUGCUAGCACAGAAGUUGCCUGCAAAGUGGCAAUUUAAUCUAAAUCAACCAACUGGCAAUUUUAAAGAGCAGUGAUCUGUUUCAGCAACUCAACUUCAUCAACAGCAUCCUCUUAAGCUGUUUUCAGCUACAAUCAAAAAAGGACGUCCAGCUAUAUGCUAAAUCUCAUUGCAAGUCAAUAGGUUUUUAGGCUCCAAACUAUUUCAGGCACUUAAAUGGGACUUUGACAUCUUAAAUACAUUCAGUUUUAGAUAUUAAAGUAGUAAUCAGUACAUAUUUCUGAAAUGGAAUUUGUAUUCCAAACUUUGUUUCUUGAUUAUUAGCCAAAAAAUUGAUUUCAAGGGCUUAGAAAGAAAUACCCUCAGUAUUAGAGCUGGCCAUAAAAGCAAAACAAAGGUAAUGAAUGUUUUUUAAUUUUCCAUCUAGCUCAAUGGGAGUGUGUUAGUCUUAGAAUCCCUACAGAACCAAAAUAUCAAGCACUAAAAUUCAAGAAGUAUGCAAAAUGUAUGAUAAACCAAGAAGAAUUAGUGAAAGUUAAUUUGUAUAUGAUUCAUAAAUAUGGUAAGUGAUCACAGUAAAUUUUAGAUGUUAGCAAUAACUGUACAUCAAGGCAACUGGAAACUGUUUCUGUAAAUAUUAAUUUCAUAUAUUCAAAAUGAUGAAAAUGUAACUGGAGUCAAACUGCAGAAGGUUCUACAUUAAAAAUAACCACACACAGAGUAA
Dromaius novaehollandiae (emu) is the source of this 3347-nucleotide long non-coding RNA. RefSeq lists it as uncharacterized. NCBI's taxonomy places the organism in Eukaryota, Metazoa, Chordata, Aves, Casuariiformes, Dromaiidae. The record is from RefSeq and is a predicted model, not a curated record. The transcript has 6 exons.